This 175-nucleotide ribosomal RNA is filed under the name uncultured bacterium. Its description in RNAcentral is "partial 16S ribosomal RNA". It matches the Rfam family "Bacterial small subunit ribosomal RNA", at positions 337 to 525 of the family's 1533-position model. The record is from RNAcentral.
UCCUACGGGAGGCAGCAGUGGGGAAUAUUGGACAAUGGGCCACAAGCCUGAUCCAGCAAUUCUGUGUGCACGAUGAAGGUCUUCGGAUUGUAAAGUGCUUUCAGUUGGGAAGAAGAAAGUGACGGUACCAACAGAAGAAGCGACGGCUAAAUACGUGCCAGCAGCCGCGGUAAUA